UGGGGAAUUUGGACAAUGGGCGAAAGCCUGAUCCAGCAAUGCCGCGUGUGUGAAGAAGGCCUUCGGGUUGUAAAGCACUUUUGUCCGGAAAGAAAAUCCUUGGCUCUAAUACAGUCGGGGGAUGACGGUACCGGAAGAAUAAGCACCGGCUAACUACGUGCCAGCAGCCGCGGUAAUACGUAGGGUGCAAGCGUUAAUCGGAAUUACUGGGGCGUAAAGCGUGCGCAGGCGGGUUUGCUAAGACCGAUGUGAAAAUCCCCGGGCUCAACCUGGGAACUGCAUUGGUGANUGGCAGGCUAGAGUAUGGCAGAGGGGGGUAGAAUUCCACGUGUAGCAGUGAAAUGCGUAGAGAUGUGGAGGAAUACCGAUGGCGAAGGCAGCCCCCUGGGCCAAUACUGACGCUCAUGCACGAAAA
This 415-nucleotide ribosomal RNA is filed under the name uncultured bacterium. RNAcentral describes it as "partial 16S ribosomal RNA". It matches the Rfam family "Bacterial small subunit ribosomal RNA", at positions 356 to 759 of the family's 1533-position model. The record is from RNAcentral.